UACGUAGGGGGCUAGCGUUGUCCGGAAUCAUUGGGCGUAAAGAGCGCGUAGGCGGCUAGAUAAGUCCGGUGUGAAAGUCACAGGCUCAACCUGUGAAUGCCGCUGGAAACUGUCUGGCUAGAGUCCGGAAGGGGCGAGUGGAAUUCCUGGUGUAGCGGUGAAAUGCGUAGAUAUCUGGAGGAACACCGGUGGCGAAGGCGGCAUCCUGGACCAAUUCUGACACUGAGGAGCGAAAGCCAGGGGAGCAAACGGG
This 253-nucleotide ribosomal RNA is filed under the name uncultured bacterium. Its description in RNAcentral is "partial 16S ribosomal RNA". It matches the Rfam family "Bacterial small subunit ribosomal RNA", at positions 524 to 776 of the family's 1533-position model. The record is from RNAcentral.